This 422-nucleotide ribosomal RNA is filed under the name uncultured bacterium. RNAcentral's name for it is "bacterial SSU rRNA". It matches the Rfam family "Bacterial small subunit ribosomal RNA", at positions 362 to 775 of the family's 1533-position model. The record is from RNAcentral.
UCUUCCGCAAUGGACGAAAGUCUGACGGAGCAACGCCGCGCGAGUGAUGAAGGUUUUCGGAUCGUAAAACUCUGUUGUUCUGGAAGAACCAGUACCGUUCGAAUAGGGCGGUUCCUUGACGGUACCUCACCAGAAAGCCACGGCUAACUACGUGCCAGCCGCCGCGGUAAUACGUAGGUGGCAAGCGUUGUCCGGAAUUAUUGGGCGUAAAGCGCGCGCAGGCGGUUUCUUAAGGCUGAUGUGAAAGCCCCCGGCUCAACCGGGGAGGGUCAUUGGAAACUGGGGAACUUGAGUGCAGAAGAGGAGAGUGGAAUUCCACGUGUAGCGGUGAAAUGCGUAGAGAUGUGGAGGAACACCAGUGGCGAAGGCGACUCUCUGGUCUGUAACUGACGCUGAGGCGCGAAAGCGUGGGGAGCGAACAG